CAGCCUCAGUGCUAGGGCUUUGUGUCUUACUCAAUCUGGUGUUACUCUGGAUGGGUAACUCUCCUUUCUUGGAAUCCUGCAUGCUGAAUCUCUUCAGCACCUUAUCCAAGUAGGUACUCUGACUAAGUCCAAUUAGUCUUUUACUCCGAUCUCUCAAGAUNUGCUGAAUCUCUUCAGCACCUUAUCCAAGUAGGUACUCUGACUAAGUCCAAUUAGUCUUUUACUCUGGUCUCUCAAGAUCCUUAUCCCUAGAAUAUAGGCAACUUCUCCUAGGUCCUUCAUAGAGAAACACUUCCCAAGCCAGGACUUAACUUCCUGCAGAUUUGGGAUGUCAUUUCCUAUGAGUAGUAUGUCAUCCACAUACAAUACCAAAAAUCUAACUAUACUCCCACUAGCCUUGACAUAUACACAAGAUU
This 416-nucleotide long non-coding RNA is filed under the name Lactuca sativa (garden lettuce). RNAcentral's name for it is "long non-coding RNA (LSAT_LNC002632)". The record is from RNAcentral. Lineage: Eukaryota; Viridiplantae; Streptophyta; Magnoliopsida; Asterales; Asteraceae.